Long non-coding RNA from Clupea harengus (Atlantic herring), 1553 nucleotides. NCBI's taxonomy places the organism in Eukaryota, Metazoa, Chordata, Actinopteri, Clupeiformes, Clupeidae. The record is from Ensembl.
UUUUUCAAAACUCACAAACAUGUGAGGUGGGUUUGGGCUUUAGCUUUCAACUGUGUGCAGUGGAGGCAGAUUUGCAUGUGGAUGAUCAUGUGUGUAGUGCAGCUGAACCCAAGUGAAAGAGCUGUGGAGGUAAUAAAAAUAUAUUUUGCACAAAAUACUUCCUUCCCCCACUGUAACUGGUGGAAUACCAGCUGUGUGUGUGUGUGUGUGUGUGUGUGUGUGUGUGUGUGUGUAACACACGACACACUUGAGUCAACCAUCUUAAAAAAAAAAGUCUGAGUCCCUUGAGGACCAGAGGGCGCUGGUCAUCCCAGAGGAAGCCAUUAAACCAGUCUGCUCCUCUGACCUGCUCCUGUGCUCCAUCAUCACCUGACCAGGAAACACAUUCAGUAGCUUGAACUCUCAGUUGUGUUCUGAAUAUGAUGGGUGCAUAUGUUUACGAUCACCAAAUAAUCUAGUAGCAGAGAGAGUGCGUGUGUGGGGGGGUGGGGUGGGGGGGUAAGACCUGUCUCUGAACUAACCAGCGCACUGUAGGACCCUGUAAGUUUGAUAUUUCAUGUCCUGUUCUGUUGGUGUAAAAUGUAUGUGUUAUGUUGUCAGACAGAGGUGGUCUUGAUUUGUGUCUUUUUAUUUGUGGAGUGAAGUUCGGGGGAAUAUUUUUGAGUCUGGUUGGAGUUUGGGGGAAUAUUUUUGAGUCUCGUUGGAGUUUGGGGGAAUAUUUUUAAGUCUGGUUGUUGAUUGAACCUUUUACUGACUGUCCAGCUCUGCUCUCACCACAAGGUGGCACAACAGUGACAGCACACACUCAUUUAAUUAAACAAACAGAAUACAAACAUACAGUAAUGAUGUGUUUAAAAUGAGGUGCUCUCCUUACACGUCCUCAGAUAAGGCCUAGCCUACAGAAACGCUGUUACCCCUCCUGAUGAGUGAAUCUUCACGAAGACAAAGGCAAUCAGAAAUAGUGGCAUUACCUUUCUCUAUUGGCUGAAAUGACUGUCUCAGCCAGAUUUGGGAAUCAAUCUGUGAGACAGGUGUGUGUGGAUGUCUUGUUGGUGUUAUGGACGUUUAUUUUGUUAAAAGGACAUUUCGGAUGACAUUAAGCAAAUGGCAUCAACAUUCCCACUUUUUUUCUGGCUUUGUGCUGCCUUGCUGUCCCCAUUCAAAUGGUACAACUGCAAUACUUAUUAACAUAAGACAACAGAAAAAAUUAUAUAAUCUGAUCGAUAAUAACAUUUGGCCCUUUGGAUGGUGACAGGAGCUUCCUAUAGAGGUGCAGUGGAGAAAGAGGGAAAUGCAGCAUGAUCUUUCUGGGUAGAGCAGUGUCCCUGCUGUUUGUGCUAACCAUAUCAGUCCUGUAGUUACAGCUUGCUCUAUUUUUGUGUUUGUCUCAGAUUGCUAUGUUUGUUUGGUUCACUACUUAAGGAAAACAAUAAAUUCUAGUAUUGAAAAUACAGAUUGGAGUGGUAUUUGUGUGUGUGAACCCUCAUCAUGCGGUCAACCUAUUUAACAAUGUAUUGAUUGACUGCACUCAGGAUAGUAUCAUACGCGCCAUG